UACAGAGGUCCCGAGCGUUGUUCGGAUUCAUUGGGCGUAAAGGGUGCGUAGGUGGCGCUGUAAGUGGGGUGUGAAAUCCCGGGGCUUAACUCCGGAACUGCAUUCCAUACUGCGGUGCUUGAGGACUGGAGAGGAGACUGGAAUUUACGGUGUAGCAGUGAAAUGCGUAGAGAUCGUAAGGAACACCAAUGGCGAAGGCAGAUCUCUGGGCCGUAACUGACGCUGAGGAGCGAAAGCAUGGGGAGCGAACAGG
RNAcentral lists this ribosomal RNA (253 nucleotides) under uncultured bacterium. Its description in RNAcentral is "partial 16S ribosomal RNA". It matches the Rfam family "Bacterial small subunit ribosomal RNA", at positions 524 to 776 of the family's 1533-position model. The record is from RNAcentral.